UGAGGAAUAUUGGUCAAUGGACGCAAGUCUGAACCAGCCAAGUAGCGUGCAGGAUGACGGCCCUAUGGGUUGUAAACUGCUUUUAUAUGGGGAUAAAGUGGGGAACGUGUUCCCUUUUGCAGGUACCAUAUGAAUAAGGACCGGCUAAUUCCGUGCCAGCAGCCGCGGUAAUACGGAAGGUUCGGGCGUAAUCCGGAUUUAUUGGGUUUAAAGGGAGCGUAGGCCGUUUGGUAAGCGUGUUGUGAAAUGUAGGAGCUCAACUUCUAGAUUGCAGCGCGAACUGUCAGACUUGAGUGCGCACAACGUAGGCGGAAUUCAUGGUGUAGCGGUGAAAUGCUUAGAUAUCAUGAAGAACUCCGAUUGCGAAGGCAGCUUACGGGAGCGCAACUGACGCUGAAGCUCGAAGGUGCGGGUAUCGAACAGG
This 424-nucleotide ribosomal RNA is filed under the name Verrucomicrobiota bacterium. Its description in RNAcentral is "Verrucomicrobia bacterium partial 16S ribosomal RNA". It matches the Rfam family "Bacterial small subunit ribosomal RNA", at positions 355 to 776 of the family's 1533-position model. The record is from RNAcentral. Lineage: Bacteria; Pseudomonadati; Verrucomicrobiota.